GCCGCGCACGCGCGGUGACGGUAGUAUAGUGGGGUUUGUACCUUUUGCGGUUCCCAUCGGGGGUGACAAAACCUUGCUGGUGUGGGAGCUGACCUGUGGACCCACGGACGAGGCCUUGCCUCAUUCUCUGUUCACAGUCUUCUCCCAGGUUGGCCUUCUGUAUUCGGUCCGAGUCUUCCCAAACGCAGCAGUGGCUGGUCCUUGGUUCUAUGGCAUCGUCAAGUUUUAUUCAGCAAGGGAUGCCCACAGAGCCCAAAAGGCAUGCUACCAGAAGCAGCUUUUUCAGACAUCUCCAGUGAAGAUGGGUC
This is a long non-coding RNA of Lipotes vexillifer (Yangtze River dolphin), 308 nucleotides long. RefSeq lists it as uncharacterized. The transcript is spliced from 3 exons. Lineage: Eukaryota; Metazoa; Chordata; Mammalia; Artiodactyla; Lipotidae. The record is from RefSeq and is a predicted model, not a curated record.